UUCCUCGUUAGGUGAGGCUCCUAUAUGAAGAUAUGCUACUGCCCAGAAACGUCCAAAGACGCCAACGGGUCAGCAGAAGUCAUCGAGUUAAGGUGAUUUUUAAUGUAGCUGGUACAUCCUAUGUCAUAUAGUGCUAAAACUCUACGAAAGAGGU
RNAcentral lists this small RNA (154 nucleotides) under Metalysinibacillus jejuensis. RNAcentral describes it as "M-box riboswitch (ykoK leader)". It matches the Rfam family "M-box riboswitch aptamer (ykoK leader)". From Rfam's summary of the family: M-box riboswitch, also know as ykoK leader is described as a metaloregulatory RNA that sense divalent metals and function as a genetic control element of genes related to divalent metal transport in bacteria. It was first reported upstream of the B.subtilis ykoK gene and genes with related functions in other bacteria. Lineage: Bacteria; Bacillati; Bacillota; Bacilli; Caryophanales; Caryophanaceae. The record is from RNAcentral.